This 73-nucleotide transfer RNA is filed under the name Marmota marmota marmota (Alpine marmot). It matches the Rfam family "tRNA". Rfam says of the family: Transfer RNA (tRNA) molecules are approximately 80 nucleotides in length. Their secondary structure includes four short double-helical elements and three loops (D, anti-codon, and T loops). The record is from Rfam by way of RNAcentral. RNAcentral also lists the same sequence under 1 other name. Lineage: Eukaryota; Metazoa; Chordata; Mammalia; Rodentia; Sciuridae.
GAUGUUAGGGCUCAGUUGUUAGAGUGCUUGCCUCACAUGCACAAGGUCCUGGGUUCAAUCCCCAGUACCACCA